AGGGGACCCCCCGGAGUGGGGCCUGGGGCUUAAUUUGACUCAACACGGGAAAAAUCACCAGGCCCGGACACCGGAAGGAUUGACAGAUUGAGAGCUCUUUCUUGAUUCGGUGGGUGGUGGUGCAUGGCCGUUCUUAGUUGGUGGAGCGAUUUGUCUGGUUAAUUCCGAUAACGAACGAGACUCUGGCCUACUAAAUAGACGUUGGAUCCCUUUGUGGGUCUAUCGCAGCUUCUUAGAGGGACGGGCGGCGUUCAGCCGCACGAGAUUGAGCAAUAACAGGUCUGUGAUGCCCUUAGAUGUUCUGGGCUGCACGCGCGCUACACUGAAGGAAUCAGCGUGUGUUCCCUGCCCGAAAGGACUGGGAAACCCGUUGAACCUCCUUCGUGAUGGGGAUUGGGGAUUGCAAUUAUUCCCCAUGAACGAGGAAUUCCCAGUAUGCGCGAGUCAUAAGCUUGCGUCGAUUACGUCCCUGCCCUUUGUACACACCGCCCGUCGCUACUACCGAUCGAGUGAUUUAUU
Molecule: ribosomal RNA, 519 nt
Filed under: uncultured eukaryote
Lineage: Eukaryota
Description: SSU rRNA
Rfam family: Eukaryotic small subunit ribosomal RNA
Source: RNAcentral